RNAcentral lists this non-coding RNA (393 nucleotides) under Pan troglodytes (chimpanzee). The record is from RNAcentral. Lineage: Eukaryota; Metazoa; Chordata; Mammalia; Primates; Hominidae.
AGUUUUUCCCUUACAUCUACCGGGUGUGGGAACUCACCCAGCGCAUCCGACUGCACCAGGGUUUUUGUGACCAGUGUCUUGCGCCAAACUCCUGUCUCCUCCUGUGACUUAGAAUGCCUAACUUCCUGGGAAUGCAGCACGGGUCUCAGCCUCAUUUUGCCCAGCCCCUAUUCAAGACGGAUUUGCUCUGGUUCAAAUGCUUCUGACAAUAUUCCUCAUGGUGAAUGCUGGAUUUUGCAUGCCCGAGGCCCUGGGCCACACUGUAUGUUUGCUUUUUGCAAGGGCUGUAUGGCUAUGACUAGUCAUGUGGACCCUGCAUUCCUAUGUAAAUGACCCUCCAUAAAAACCCCAGAAAUGAAUGCUUGAGUGAACUUCCCUGGCUUGUAUUAUAAU